This 74-nucleotide transfer RNA is filed under the name Hippeastrum papilio. Its description in RNAcentral is "tRNA-fMet". The record is from RNAcentral. RNAcentral also lists the same sequence under 14 other names. Lineage: Eukaryota; Viridiplantae; Streptophyta; Magnoliopsida; Asparagales; Amaryllidaceae.
UCAUUAGUUCCUAGUCCUUCAGCGCGGAGUAGAGCAGUUUGGUAGCUCGCAAGGCUCAUAACCUUGAGGUCACG